RNAcentral lists this ribosomal RNA (381 nucleotides) under uncultured bacterium. RNAcentral's name for it is "bacterial SSU rRNA". It matches the Rfam family "Bacterial small subunit ribosomal RNA", at positions 28 to 402 of the family's 1533-position model. The record is from RNAcentral.
GACGAACGCUGGCGGCGUGCCUAACACAUGCAAGUCGAACGGAACCGGGGGCAACUCCGGUUCAGUGGCGGACGGGUGCGUAACACGUGAGGAACAUGACCUUCGGCGGGGGAGUAGCCGGCCCGAACCGGCCGGGUAAGUACCGCGUACGACCUUUCGGGGUACGAUCCUCGGAGUGGUGAAAGACAGCAAUGCGCCGAUGGAGUGCCUCGCGGCCUAUCAGCUAGUUGGUGGGGUAACGGCCCACCAAGGCAACGACGGUAGCUGUCUGAGAGGAUGGCCAGCCACAUUGGGACUGAGACACGGCCCAGACUCCUACGGGAGGCAGCAGUGGGGAAGUAUUGCGGCAAUGGGCGAAAGCCUGACGCAGCGACGCCGCGU